RNAcentral lists this ribosomal RNA (433 nucleotides) under uncultured bacterium. RNAcentral's name for it is "partial 16S ribosomal RNA". It matches the Rfam family "Bacterial small subunit ribosomal RNA", at positions 29 to 507 of the family's 1533-position model. The record is from RNAcentral.
AACGAACGCUGGCGGCAUGCCUAACACAUGCAAGUCGAACGAGACCUUCGGGUCUAGUGGCGCAAGGGUGCGUAACGCGUGGGAACCUGCCCUUAGGUUCGGAAUAACUCCCCGAAAGGGGUGCUAAUACCGGAUAAUGUCUUCGGACCAAAGAUUUAUCGCCUUUGGAUGGGCCCGCGUUGGAUUAGCUAGUUGGUAGGGUAAAAGCCUACCAAGGCGACGAUCCAUAGCUGGUCUGAGAGGAUGACCAGCCACACUGGGACUGAGACACGGCCCAGACUCCUACGGGAGGCAGCAGUGGGGAAUAUUGGACAAUGGGCGAAAGCCUGAUCCAGCAAUGCCGCGUGAGUGAUGAAGUCCUUAGGGUUGUAAAGCUCUUUUACCCGGGAUGAUAAUGACAGUACCGGGAGAAUAAGCUCCGGCUAACUCCGUG